RNAcentral lists this non-coding RNA (39 nucleotides) under unclassified sequences. Its description in RNAcentral is "L31-Actinobacteria ribosomal protein leader". It matches the Rfam family "L31-Actinobacteria ribosomal protein leader". The record is from RNAcentral.
CCGGUCCGGUUCACGUGCCUCGCGGCACGACCCGGCGCC